Molecule: signal recognition particle RNA, 267 nt
Filed under: Clostridiales bacterium
Lineage: Bacteria; Bacillati; Bacillota; Clostridia; Eubacteriales
Description: signal recognition particle sRNA large type
Rfam family: Bacterial large signal recognition particle RNA
About the family: The signal recognition particle (SRP) is a universally conserved ribonucleoprotein involved in the co-translational targeting of proteins to membranes.
Source: RNAcentral
CCAUGCUAGAUGGGGAGGUAGCGGUGCCUUGUACCUGCAGUCCGCUGUAGCAGGAUUUAAUUCCUUACAUGAGGCUUUUCUUGCUGGUGCUUGUUUGCGUGCAAGCGGUGUUGAAGAUUGGAGCCUACGUCAAUGGGAACAUAUGAACCCCGUCAGGUUCGGAAGAAAGCAGCGGUAAGUAUGAAAUUUCAUGUGGUGUAGGGGUGCCCAGUUUGAGCUGGCUACAUUGCUUUCGCCUGGUAAAAAAGUCGAGUGUGAGGUGCAUGG